GACGAACGCUGGCGGCGUGCUUAACACAUGCAAGUCGAACGGAAAGGCCCUGCUUUUGUGGGGUGCUCGAGUGGCGAACGGGUGAGUAACACGUGAGUAACCUGCCCUUGACUUUGGGAUAACUUCAGGAAACUGGGGCUAAUACCGGAUAGGAGCUCCUGCUGCAUGGUGGGGGUUGGAAAGUUUCGGCGGUUGGGGAUGGACUCGCGGCUUAUCAGCUUGUUGGUGGGGUAGUGGCUUACCAAGGCCUUGACGGGUAGCCGGCCUGAGAGGGUGACCGGCCACAUUGGGACUGGGAUAAGGCCCAGACUACUACGGGAGGCAGCAGUGGGGAAUAUUGCACAAUGGGCGGAAGCCUAAUGCAGCAACGCCGCGUGCGGGAUGACGGCCUUCGGGUUGUAAACCGCUUUCGCCUGUGACGAAGCGUGAGUGACGGUAAUGGGUAAAGAAGCACCGGCUAACUACGUG
Molecule: ribosomal RNA, 468 nt
Filed under: uncultured bacterium
Lineage: Bacteria
Description: partial 16S ribosomal RNA
Rfam family: Bacterial small subunit ribosomal RNA
Source: RNAcentral